AUUGAACGCUGGCGGCAGGCCUAACACAUGCAAGUCGAACGGUACCAGAAAGCCGCUUGCUGCUUUGCUGAGGAGUGGCGGGCGGGUGGGUAAUGUCUGGGAAACUGCCUGAUGGAGGGGGAUAACUACUGGAAACGGUAGCUAAUACCGCAUAACGUCGCCAGACCAAAGAGGGGGCCCUUCGGGCCUCUUGUCGUCGGGUGUGCCCAGAUGGGGUUAGCUAGUAGGUGGGGUAAAGGCAGAACUAGGCGACGAACCCUAGCUGGUCGGAGGGGAUGGCCCGCCACACUGGCAGUGAGACUCGGCCCACACUCCUGCGGGAGGCCACAGUGGGGAAUAUUGCACAAUGGGCGAAAGCCGGAUGCAGCCAUGCCGCGUGUAUGAAGAAGGCCCUCGGGUUGGAAAGUGCUUUCGGCGGUGAGGAAGGGAGUAAAGUUAAUACCGUUGCUUAUUGACGUUACCCGCAGAAGAAGCACCGGCUAACUCCGUG
This 490-nucleotide ribosomal RNA is filed under the name uncultured bacterium. RNAcentral describes it as "partial 16S ribosomal RNA". It matches the Rfam family "Bacterial small subunit ribosomal RNA", at positions 29 to 507 of the family's 1533-position model. The record is from RNAcentral.